UGGGGAAUAUUGCACAAUGGGCGCAAGCCUGAUGCAGCCAUGCCGCGUGUAUGAAGAAGGCCUUCGGGUUGUAAAGUACUUUCAGUCGGGAGGAAGGUGGUAAGGUUAAUAACCUUGGCAAUUGACGUUACCGACAGAAGAAGCACCGGCUAACUCCGUGCCAGCAGCCGCGGUAAUACGGAGGGUGCAAGCGUUAAUCGGAAUUACUGGGCGUAAAGCGCACGCAGGCGGUUGAUUGAGUCAGAUGUGAAAUCCCCGGGCUUAACCCGGGAAUUGCAUCUGAUACUGGUCAGCUAGAGUCUUGUAGAGGGGGGUAGAAUUCCAUGUGUAGCGGUGAAAUGCGUAGAGAUGUGGAGGAAUACCGGUGGCGAAGGCGGCCCCGUGGACAAAGACUGACGCUCAGGUGCGAAAGCGUGGGGAGCAAACAGG
RNAcentral lists this ribosomal RNA (429 nucleotides) under Chloroflexota bacterium. RNAcentral describes it as "Chloroflexi bacterium partial 16S ribosomal RNA". It matches the Rfam family "Bacterial small subunit ribosomal RNA", at positions 355 to 776 of the family's 1533-position model. Lineage: Bacteria; Bacillati; Chloroflexota. The record is from RNAcentral.